UGGCGGACGGGUGAGUAACGCGUGGGUAACCUGCCUCACACAGGGGGAUAACAGUUGGAAACGACCGCUAAUACCGCAUAACCCGCUAGGGCCGCAUGGCCCGGACGGAAAAGAUUUAUCGGUGUGAGAUGGACCCGCGUUGGAUUAGCUAGUUGGCAGGGUAACGGCCUACCAAGGCGACGAUCCAUAGCCGGCCUGAGAGGGUGAACGGCCACAUUGGGACUGAGACACGGCCCAA
RNAcentral lists this ribosomal RNA (238 nucleotides) under uncultured bacterium. RNAcentral's name for it is "partial 16S ribosomal RNA". It matches the Rfam family "Bacterial small subunit ribosomal RNA", at positions 96 to 334 of the family's 1533-position model. The record is from RNAcentral.